This 493-nucleotide ribosomal RNA is filed under the name uncultured bacterium. RNAcentral describes it as "partial 16S ribosomal RNA". It matches the Rfam family "Bacterial small subunit ribosomal RNA", at positions 29 to 507 of the family's 1533-position model. The record is from RNAcentral.
ACGAACGCUGGCGGCGUGCUUAACACAUGCAAGUCGAACGGUGAAGCGCCUUCCUUUUUGGUGGGUGUGGAUGAGUGGCGAACGGGUGAGUAACACGUGAGUAACCUGCCCCCUUCUUCUGGAUAACCGCAUGAAAGUGUGGCUAAUACGGGAUAUUCUGGGUCUGUCGCAUGAUGGGUCUGGGAAAGAUAUUGUUUCGGUGGGGGAUGGGCUCGCGGCCUAUCAGCUUGUUGGUGGGGUGAUGGCCUACCAAGGCGGUGACGGGUAGCCGGCCUGAGAGGGUGGACGGUCACACGGGGACUGAGACACGGCCCAGACUCCUACGGGAGGCAGCAGUGGGGAAUAUUGCACAAUGGGCGCAAGCCUGAUGCAGCGACGCCGCGUGAGGGAUGGAGGCCUUCGGGUUGUGAACCUCUUUCGCCAGUGAAGCAGGCCUGCCUCGUUUGUGGGUGGGUUGACGGUAGCUGGAUAAGAAGCGCCGGCUAACUACGUG